AUUGAACGCUGGCGGAAUGCCUAACACAUGCAAGUCGAGCGGGGUGUAGCAAUACACCUAGCGGCGGACGGGUGAGGAAUACAUAGGAAUCUACCUUUAAGUGGGGGAUAGCCCGGGGAAACCCGGAUUAAUACCGCAUGAUCUCGCAAGAGCAAAGCGGGGGACCGUAAGGCCUCGCGCUGAAAGAUGAGCCUAUGUCGGAUUAGCUAGUUGGCGGGGUAAAGGCCCACCAAGGCGACGAUCCGUAGCUGGUCUGAGAGGACGAUCAGCCACACCGGAACUGAGACACGGUCCGGACUCCUACGGGAGGCAGCAGCGGGGAAUAUUGGACAAUGGGCGCAAGCCUGAUCCAGCAAUUCCGCGUGUGUGAAGAA
This 374-nucleotide ribosomal RNA is filed under the name uncultured bacterium. RNAcentral's name for it is "bacterial SSU rRNA". It matches the Rfam family "Bacterial small subunit ribosomal RNA", at positions 29 to 412 of the family's 1533-position model. The record is from RNAcentral.